This 119-nucleotide ribosomal RNA is filed under the name Pteropus alecto (black flying fox). The record is from RNAcentral. Lineage: Eukaryota; Metazoa; Chordata; Mammalia; Chiroptera; Pteropodidae.
GUCUAUGGCCACUCCACCCUGAACAUGCCCAAUCUCGUCUGAUCUCAGAAGCUAAGCAGUGUUGGGCCUAGUUAGUACUUGGAUGGGAGACUACCUUGUAAUACCAGGUGCUGUAGGUG